This 87-nucleotide non-coding RNA is filed under the name human gut metagenome. The record is from RNAcentral.
GCGCAGGGGGUGCCGGUUAUGGCUGAGAGGGGAAACCCAACCCUAUGAACCUGAUGUGGUUAGUGCCACCGUAGGGAGCGGAUGAUG